Molecule: ribosomal RNA, 500 nt
Filed under: uncultured bacterium
Lineage: Bacteria
Description: partial 16S ribosomal RNA
Rfam family: Bacterial small subunit ribosomal RNA
Source: RNAcentral
AUUGAACGCUGGCGGCAUGCCUUACACAUGCAAGUCGAACGGUAACGGGUCCUUCGGGAUGCCGACGAGUGGCGAACGGGUGAGUAAUAUAUCGGAACGUGCCCAGUAGUGGGGGAUAACUGCUCGAAAGAGCAGCUAAUACCGCAUACGACCUGAGGGUGAAAGGGGGGGAUCGCAAGACCUCUCGCUGUUGGAGCGGCCGAUAUCAGAUUAGCUAGUUGGUGGGGUAAAGGCCUACCAAGGCAACGAUCUGUAGUUGGUCUGAGAGGACGACCAGCCACCCUGGGACUGAGACAGGGCCCAGACUCAUACGGGAGGCAGCAGUGGGGAAUUUUGGACAAUGGGCGCAAGCCUGAUCCAGCAAUGCCGCGUGCAGGAAGAAGGCCUUCGGGUUGUAAACUGCUUUUGUCAGGGAAGAAAUCUUCUGGGCUAAUACCCCGGGAGGAUGACGGUACCUGAAGAAUAAGCACCGGCUAACUACGUGCCAGCCGCCGCGGUAA